This 26-nucleotide unclassified non-coding RNA is filed under the name Mus musculus (house mouse). RNAcentral describes it as "oocyte_clustered_small_RNA3345". Lineage: Eukaryota; Metazoa; Chordata; Mammalia; Rodentia; Muridae. The record is from RNAcentral.
UCUAGGGCAGUGUACCAAGUCCGCUC